UACGUAGGGGGCGAGCGUUGUCCGAAGUUACUGGGCGUAAAGCGCGCGUAGGCGGUUAUUUAAGUUCGGGGUGAAAGGUUCAGCGCUCAACGCGAACAGUGCCUUGAAUACUGGAUGACUUGAGUUCGGGAGAGGGCAGUGGAAUUCCUGGUGUAGCGGUGAAAUGCGUAGAUAUCAGGAGGAACACCGAUGGCGAAGGCAGCUGCCUGGCCUAGAACUGACGCUGAGGUGCGAAAGCGUGGGGAGCGAACAGG
This 254-nucleotide ribosomal RNA is filed under the name uncultured bacterium. Its description in RNAcentral is "partial 16S ribosomal RNA". It matches the Rfam family "Bacterial small subunit ribosomal RNA", at positions 524 to 776 of the family's 1533-position model. The record is from RNAcentral.